This is a long non-coding RNA of Cloeon dipterum, 1088 nucleotides long. RefSeq lists it as uncharacterized. The transcript is spliced from 5 exons. The record is from RefSeq and is a predicted model, not a curated record. NCBI's taxonomy places the organism in Eukaryota, Metazoa, Arthropoda, Insecta, Ephemeroptera, Baetidae.
UCACAAACAGACAAGAUGGAGACGGUAAACAUCUCGACAAAAAGAUUGACACCCAGAUUUUCAAAUUUUGGACUUUGCUACUCGUUUAACGCACUGCCACAUGGUCAGUUUUUCAAAGACGAGAGCUCCUUAGUUUUCGAAGACAGAGAAGAUGCAACAAAGCACUAUUGGGGUUUGGAUAGUGGAUACACCAAUUCGUGGUUUGACGAAAUGCCUGUACCAAAGCGAGCCUUGGGAUCAGGCUACAGGUACUCGUAUGGAAUACUGCUAAAGAGAAAGAAAAAUCUCGCUUUUCCCAACUGCGCUCAUCCAAAUGCCGGAUUCAAGAUAGCUGUGGAAAAUCCGGCAGACGCCUUUUCAAAGGAGGACGACUUCAUGCGGGUUUCGAUGGGGCGGGGAACAAAUUUCUUGAUCACUCCAAAGCUCGUCACCACCGACAAUGCAGUGCGGAGCAGUAUGGAUCCAAUGGUUCGAGAAUGCUAUUUUCAGGACGAGAUAUCGCUUUGCCACUACAAACAUUACACUCGAAAAAACUGCCAGUCGGAGUGUUUAUCGAAUCUUACUAUGACGGCUUGCAAUUGCGUCGAGUUUUACAUGCCGCGGACGAACGAUACUGAUAUUUGCUUAGGAUCAGUAGAUAGGCUCUGCGCUAAAGACGUUGCCAGUAAAAUUUGAAUUUAUUGUUUUAGUUGUUAAUCAUCUGGAAAUUUGAUUAAUUCAGGGAAAUUUGACGAGGACGUAGUAAAAAAGGCUUUGGAUGGCGAAAACGUAAAUGGAAAGUGGGGUCCGUGUGGUUGUUUGCCGUCUUGCACUCAUUUGGCAUACACUUAUGAUGUGUUCAAUACCGACCUCAUGUCCGCUGAGUAAGCUUUAUUUAAUCGUUUAUAUGGAUAUUGGUUAAAAUAUCUCUUCCAGCGAAAAUGCUGCAUUUCUAACGUUUUAUUUUAAGGAAAAUAGCUUUUUUCCUUUGACGAGAAUCCAGCAAUUUGACUUUCUAACAUUUAUCAGUACUUGUGGAGGACUUCUCGGACUCUUUCUUGGAUUUAGUCUUCUGAGUUUAGUUGAAAUUAUAUUCUACUUGAUUUUCA